GGAGCUGGAGCUCAGUGGUAAAGUACUUGCCUAGCAUGUGCAAGGCCCUGGGUUCAAUCCCCAGUAGCACCU
RNAcentral lists this transfer RNA (72 nucleotides) under Fukomys damarensis (Damara mole-rat). It matches the Rfam family "tRNA". From Rfam's summary of the family: Transfer RNA (tRNA) molecules are approximately 80 nucleotides in length. Lineage: Eukaryota; Metazoa; Chordata; Mammalia; Rodentia; Bathyergidae. The record is from Rfam by way of RNAcentral.